CUAACUGAAGAAUGUAAUUUGCACUGUCUCUACGUUUUUUUCGAGUAAAAAAACUUUAGAAAUUUGUGUGCUAUGUGUGUGAUUUAUGUUAUGUGAUUGUGUAUGCCAAUCUAAUUUGUUAUGCUGACUCGUGACUUCGAAAUUUUUCGUUUCUCAAUCAAUAGAACGUAGAUGGCGUCAACUACUUUCAUGUGAAGGUCGAUGAACUCUUGUUUGUUGCCAUCAAUUGUCUUGGAACUUCUGCAAAGAAUUGCCCCUGUCAUUAAAGAUUACGUUACAGUUCUCAAUGAGGAUUCUAUCAGGAAGAAUUUUGUGCUUGUCUAUGAGUUGCUUGAUGAAGUCAUAUGGGUGGUGGUAAUAGCGGUGGUUCGGAUCGAGAGUGCGAGUGAGAGAAGCUCUUGAUGCGAAUAAAAGAGGUAAGAGAGAAGAUGAAGAUGGAUGGGUCAGAAAAGAAAACGAUGACCAAGAAGAUGAUUUGUCUAUCAAAAUUUGAUAAAUGAACUGUGAAUUUUUUUUGCUGUUUUUGUUGCUGAAAGGAUGAACAAAGGAAGAAUAUGAA
This is a long non-coding RNA of Rosa chinensis, 559 nucleotides long. RefSeq lists it as uncharacterized. The transcript has 2 exons. The record is from RefSeq and is a predicted model, not a curated record. NCBI's taxonomy places the organism in Eukaryota, Viridiplantae, Streptophyta, Magnoliopsida, Rosales, Rosaceae.